Molecule: long non-coding RNA, 569 nt
Filed under: Citrus x clementina
Lineage: Eukaryota; Viridiplantae; Streptophyta; Magnoliopsida; Sapindales; Rutaceae
Description: Citrus clementina (C. clementina) long non-coding RNA (CCLE_LNC004635)
Source: RNAcentral
AACUAAAUAAAAGGGAAAAAAGAAACUUAUUAAGCGUGCAAGAUAUUUUGCCUGAUUUCAUAAUUGAACGAUAGAUUAAGAAGUGGUGCUUUUAUAGUCUUAUUCAUUUUAGGUAAGGCACAUAAUUAAUUUCAAACUCGCAAAAAACUUCCUAAUUGAGCAACAAAAGUGAGUGCCAGAAACAAUUGUCUAACUUAGCUAAAACGAUUGGAUUUUUCUGUGGCUAGCUCUAAUGCUUAAAGCACCAAAAUCCCACUCUCUUUUAUUUGCAACCUAAGGGACGUGUAGUUUAAUUUAUUUAUACCAUAGUGGUCUCUCCACUUAUUGUCAUCUGUCUUCUCUUCUAUCAAUUUAUCAAACUUUAUCGUGUUUGUGACUUUGUGCUCUCUUUGUUAAAUUCUAUUAUCCAUUUGUUGCUCACUUCUGCAAAAACUGGCUUGAUCGCACUUGAAGCUACAAUUUAAAUGUCCCAUCAUAGUUUUUUAUUAUACUGUCUCAUAUUUUUCCAAUUGGUCAAAACAAACUCCAGAGUCUCAUAAGGCCCACUAUAUUAGUAGUAGUUUUUUAUU